GUUUCAGCCGCCGCGGUAACACGUAGGGGGCAAGCGUUGUCCGGAUUUAUUGGGCGUAAAGAGCUCGUAGGCGGCUUAGUAAGUCGGGUGUGAAACCUCCAGGCUCAACCUGGAGACGCCACCCGAUACUGCUGUGGCUAGAGUCCGGUAGGGGAGCGUGGAAUUCCUGGUGUAGCGGUGAAAUGCGCAGAUAUCAGGAGGAACACCAGCGGCGAAGGCGGCGCUCUGGGCCGGUACUGACGCUGAGGAGCGAAAGCGUGGGGAGCAAACAGGAUUAGAUACCCCAGUAGUCC
This 293-nucleotide ribosomal RNA is filed under the name uncultured bacterium. RNAcentral describes it as "partial 16S ribosomal RNA". It matches the Rfam family "Bacterial small subunit ribosomal RNA", at positions 505 to 796 of the family's 1533-position model. The record is from RNAcentral.